UCCAUCUUUUUAAAACCAUGCCCUGGCCCAGAGGGGUGUGGUUUCCCAAAGCACAUGGUGGAAUUUCUGGUUUAUCCACUUCCUCCAACUCAAGUUGCUCACAGAGGCACUGCCCCUCCCAGUUUCUCUCAAGAGGAAGCCAUUUACGACCCCCCAAUUUAACAUUUGCCUGAGCCAAGGAAGGCUCAUUGUUCUGUUUCCUUGCUCCCAGGUGCUCCUCCCCUGAAUCAAUCAGAGAGGUGUAACCUCCUUUUGGUGGGGGCAGCAGAAGGCAGCCAGGCCUGGGAAUGCAGUGGCUGAGCAAGUUUCAUCUCCUGUCGGGGGUAGUUGCCGGGCAGAAUUCACUCUCUUCAAGCCAGGUUUCAGCCAAAUGUCACUUUUGUUCCCAGUUUUUCUUCAUUCAAAUCAAACUUACAAUUUUUACACAUGCAGCUAGAAUGCUGAUUCUAAGUUCAAAACUAUGACAUUUAACAGUUGCAAACUAUGUGACACUCAACAGUAGGUCACUCAUUUAUUUUAAACAUUUAGAUUUUAGUGGCUUUCAGUCCAAUUUAACUUAAGCUGCUGACAUCCACAGCUCAGCCAGUUUCAUUAUGAACAUUAUUUUAGGCUCUUUCUUUUCCCAGAUUUUGUAUGCACACAAGACUUCAUUCUGCCAAAUGUCUGCUGGUGUUAGUGAGAUUUUUGAAUAUCUUGCAAUGUUUAAAAUAGGCAUUUUUAGCUGGCAUUUCAGAGAAACAAAGGUGAUUUCAAAGUGCUUUUUGAUCUAACAGGCACUGCUGUUUUUCCUUUGGCACCACGUUUCACUCAUGGCGCUUCUGGCCCAACACACUCGCACUGGUGGGUGGCAUAUUAGGCGACCAUUUUGUUAUGCGCCAAAUCUGCGCGGUUUUCCUGGAUUCUGGCGCAAUGUGAGCUUUUUCGGCCAUCUUGUAUUUUCUGAGCCCACAGCACCAAAUGUUGUAGCAUAAUAGUCCAAACGUGGGUCAGGUCACCCAACAGGGAUGAACCGAACACUGGGUUAAGGCGGUAGAUGCCGACGCUCCCCAGACCCCGAAUCAACUAACCUAGAAAAGAGAUGACACUGGAGUGCUGUAGUCUUACCCUGCCUUCACCGGGGCUGAGAGCUGCAGGGGCUAAUCCAUGUCAAGUAGGAUGGCUGCUGUGGUGCACACAUAAGUCAAUGCGAGGGCCCGGCUGGAACUGCCGCUGGUGCAGACGUUGGUGAUAGUAGCACAUAUUCAAAUGAGAAUUUGAUGGCUGAAAUGGAGAAGGAUUAAAUGUAAACAGCAGUUGAACAUGGAUAAGUCGAUCCUAAGGGAUGGUCGAGUGAUAUUUGGAAGGGUUGGCCUUUGCUGCCCUCAGCCGAUCCAAAGGGAGCUGGGUUUAGAUCUCCGAACCCAGAGUGGCAGGGAUGGGCACCCUUGCGGUAUCCAGUACAUGAACGCAAACAAUCCAGAGGAAUCUGUCAGUAACCCCUAGGAGAGUUGGCUUUUCUUUGUGAAGGGAAGGGCACUCUGGAAUGGGUACACCCUGAGAGAGGGGUCCGAGCAUUAGAAAGUGUUGUGGAUCCAGUGGAAUCUGAUGAGCUGUCCCUGUUCCUUGAAAUUCCAGGGGAGAUGGUGUUAAUCUUGCACCAGAUGGUACCCAUUUCCGCAGCAGGUGUCCAAGGUGAUGUAGGUAAGGGAAGAUGACAAGUCGGAUCCUUAACUUUGGGAUGAAUAUUAGCGCUAAGAGCUGGGUUGGUAAGACUGGGUGCGAAACGGGGCUGAGCAUGCUCCAAGGCUGGAUGAAGCAUCUUGCCUGCCUGGGGGGGCAGCCCGACGCUGGACACGAGCUGGGCCCUUCCUGUGGCUCACCCCAGCUGUGGUGGUCAUCCCUCAACCUUUCCUUUGGGGUUCAAGGCUGGCAUUCUGCAUUGACGGAUGCCUAGUAGCUGAUUCAGAACUGGUGUAGACAUGGGGAAUCUGACUGUUUAUUUAAAACAAAGCAUUGUGAAGAACUGCACUGGGUGUCGAAGCAACAUGAUUUCCGCCCAGUGCUCUGAAUGUCAAAUUGAAGAAAUUCAAUGAAGCACGAGUAAACAGCAGGAGUAACUAUAAAUCUCUUAUGGUAGCCAAAUGCCUUGUCAUCUAAUUACUGAUGAGCAUGAAUGGAUGAACGAGAUUCCCACUGUCCCUACCUACCUUAUAGAGAAACCACAGCCAAGGGAAUGGGCUUUGUGGAUCCUGGCUUUAGUUUGGCCCUGUGAAGGGUCAUGCGAGGUGCUGAAUAAGUGGGAUGCUCUAGGGCCGCCGGAGAAAUGCCACUACUCUUAUCAUUUUUUCACUUGCCUAGUAAAGCAGGGGGGCAAGCCCUGUGGGGCUCUUGCUUCUGGCUCUAAGCACCCAUCACCCGCUGUGCGUGACUUGCUCAGGGACAGUGGCUGGUGGGGAGUUUGACUGUGGUGGUACACCUGUAAAAUGAUAACUCAGCUGCCCUAAGGCAAGCUCAGGGAGGACAGAAACCUCCCGCAGAGCAGAAGGGCAAAAGCUUUCUUGAUAUCGAUUUUCAGUAUGACUACAGAGCAUGAAAGUGGGCCCUCACAAUCCUUCAGACUUUUUGGGUUUCAAGCAGGAGAUGUCAGAAAGGUUACCACAGGGAUAAAUAACUGGCUUGUGGUGGCCAAAAGAUCAUAGUGAUAUCACUUUUUAAUCCUUCGAUUUUGGCUCUUCCUAUCAUUGCGAAGCAGAAUUUGCUAAUCAUUGGAUUGUUCACCCACCAAUAGGGAACGUGAGUUGCGUUUAGAGUAUUGUGAGACAGGUUGCUUUUAUCCUACUGAUAAUGUGUUGUUGGAAUAGUAAUCAUGCUCAGUACGAAAGGAACAACAGGUUCAGACAUUUGGUGUAUGUGCUUGGAUGAUGAGCGAAUGGAGCGAAGCUACCAUUUCUGGGUUUAUGAUUGAACGCCUCUAAGUCAGAAUAUCCCCUAGACCCAUUAACAAUACUGCAGCGCCCUGGAGCCUUGGUUGGGCUAGGGAAGACAGCUUCUUAGCCGGUGCAUAGAGCCACUUAUCUUGGGACUGAAGUGUGGAGAGAUCAGUGUCACCUCU
Molecule: ribosomal RNA, 3091 nt
Filed under: Ambystoma mexicanum (axolotl)
Lineage: Eukaryota; Metazoa; Chordata; Amphibia; Caudata; Ambystomatidae
Description: eukaryotic LSU rRNA
Rfam family: Eukaryotic large subunit ribosomal RNA (bases 392-3091)
Source: RNAcentral